AUUGAACGCUGGCGGCAGGCCUAACACAUGCAAGUCGAGCGGAUGAAGGGGGCUUGCUCCUGGAUUCAGCGGCGGACGGGUGAGUAAUGCCUAGGAAUCUGCCUGGUAGUGGGGGAUAACGUCCGGAAACGGGCGCUAAUACCGCAUACGUCCUGAGGGAGAAAGUGGGGGAUCUUCGGACCUCACGCUAUCAGAUGAGCCUAGGUCGGAUUAGCUAGUUGGUGGGGUAAAGGCCUACCAAGGCGACGAUCCGUAACUGGUCUGAGAGGAUGAUCAGUCACACUGGAACUGAGACACGGUCCAGACUCCUACGGGAGGCAGCAGUGGGGAAUAUUGGACAAUGGGCGAAAGCCUGAUCCAGCCAUGCCGCGUGUGUGAAGAAGGUCUUCGGAUUGUAAAGCACUUUAAGUUGGGGGGAAGGGCAGUAAGUUAAUACCUUGCUGUUUUGACGUUACCAACAGAAUAAGCACCGGCUAACUUCGUG
RNAcentral lists this ribosomal RNA (484 nucleotides) under uncultured bacterium. Its description in RNAcentral is "partial 16S ribosomal RNA". It matches the Rfam family "Bacterial small subunit ribosomal RNA", at positions 30 to 507 of the family's 1533-position model. The record is from RNAcentral.